This 67-nucleotide transfer RNA is filed under the name Marmota monax (woodchuck). RNAcentral's name for it is "tRNA.Ala". The record is from RNAcentral. Lineage: Eukaryota; Metazoa; Chordata; Mammalia; Rodentia; Sciuridae.
GGUUGUGGCUCAGUGGUAGAGCACUUGUCUAGCACCUGUGAAGCACUGGGUUUGAUCCUCAGCACCA